This 214-nucleotide long non-coding RNA is filed under the name Elaeis guineensis (African oil palm). Its description in RNAcentral is "long non-coding RNA (EGUI_LNC013470)". The record is from RNAcentral. Lineage: Eukaryota; Viridiplantae; Streptophyta; Magnoliopsida; Arecales; Arecaceae.
AUCUAAGAGAAAUAAUUAAAAAUUAUUUGAUCAACUAAAUAAAAUUAAUUAAUAAAUCAAAGAAGAGAGAGAACUCUCUUCUUCCCUUCUUCUCUUCAAACAGGGGAUCGUUCCCCAUUCUCCCUCUCCCACAUGUGGCCACAGACCACCGAAACCAACCACCCACGACGGCUCUCAACGGCGACGAACACCAUGGCACCGGUGAUGGCCCCAA